CCCUUAGAUGUUCUGGACGGCCCGCGCACUACAAUGGCGUGUGCAGCGAGUGCCGAAGUAGAGUUUUCCGAGGUAUUCUUGCAAUGCUCGUUUUGAUGGGGAUAGACCCUUGCAACUGUUGGUUUUGAACGAGGAAUUCCUUGUAAGCAUGGUUUAUCAUCCGACGCUGAAUGCGUCCCUGCCCUUUGUACACACCGCCCGUCGCUCCUACCGAUGAGUCGUCCGGUGAAGUUCGUAGACCUCGUGAUCGCGGAUCACUGGGGGAAGCAAAAUGAACCUCGCGGUUUAGAGGAAGGAGAAGUCGUAACA
RNAcentral lists this ribosomal RNA (309 nucleotides) under uncultured eukaryote. RNAcentral describes it as "partial 18S ribosomal RNA". It matches the Rfam family "Eukaryotic small subunit ribosomal RNA", at positions 1470 to 1796 of the family's 1831-position model. The record is from RNAcentral.